This 2408-nucleotide long non-coding RNA is filed under the name Heterocephalus glaber (naked mole-rat). RNAcentral's name for it is "lncRNA (ENSHGLG00000040672.1)". Lineage: Eukaryota; Metazoa; Chordata; Mammalia; Rodentia; Bathyergidae. The record is from RNAcentral.
GGAUUCCCAGCCCAGGAAACAGGCUGCGCGGUCACAGCCCUCAGAGCUGCUGCCGCAGGAAAGGGUUUGGAAGCCGGGUCGCGGGUCUGGCGUGGUGUCCCGACCCCGCCCAACCUGGCCAGCUCCCUUCCGAAGUGCGCAAACCGGGCGUGCGGUCCCGCGUGAGUGUGUGUGUGUGCGCGCGUGGUGCUGGGGUUGAACCCAGGGCCUUCACAUCCCAUCCCCAGUCCAUUUGUUUUGUAUGUUGAGACAGAAUCUCACUAAAGUGCCCAGGCUGGGUUCAAACUUGCGAUCUUCCUGCCGCAGCCUCCCACAGUGCCGGGAUGACAGGCGUGCGCUGCAGCCCCCGGCCAGGGACACUUAGGCGCUUUUGUGCUUGUGCAAGAGUCACAGGCGGCAGUCACAGCCAGGAUGGCCCGGGCCCUGGCGUGCCAUCUUCCGGAGCCGCAGUCGCUGUCACUUGGUGGGCUGGGGUCCCCACUGGCUGCUCCCAGCUCCUCCUGGCAGCCGUAGCUCGGAGACUCGGCCUCUCCCCGUCCACGCAGGAUUAAACCCUGACGCGGGGGCUUUAGAGACUUUGUGGGCUGAUUCGUGGUUCACCUCGUUUGAGGCCUGAGGCUGUGCUGGGCAGAGGAGGGAGAGAGUCCCACGUGGGAGCGGCUGUGGGAGCGUCGCGCUUCUGCCCGUGUCUGCGGGAGCAGCCCGAGACUUGGGGGGCCGAGUCUGGCUGUGUCCCAGGGGCGGCCGAGGGGGAUCCCCGUGGGAGGAGCAAGGCCUCUUCUGUGCAGCUGGGCCCAAGCUGGUGCUGUGGGCAGGGCAGGUGGCACCGUGGGGAGGCAGAGGCUGCCGUGAGGAGCCCAAUCGGGUGGCUCAGCUGCCUGGGUGUCAGGGAGUUUGGGCAGGGCGGCUGGGUAGAUGAACUUUUGUCUUUUGAGACAGGGUCUCCGAACAUCAGGAAGUCGCCCAGCCUGGGCUGCCUGGGCUUGAACUUGUGGUCCUCCUGCCUCAGCUGCCCAGAGCCCUGGGAUCAUAGGUGCGCACCCCCACCCUGGCUCAGCCACGCUUCUUCCUCUGGGAGCUGAGCUUUCCGUCCCGUGCCCAGGAGACAGGCAGGCACAGGGCAGCUGUGGGGAGGACCCCGAGCUCGGUCCCAGCCUGAAACCUGCCUCACGCCAACAUAGGAAGCAGAGAGGAAACCCAGGAGCCUGGCGUGGGUGGCCGGCGUGCAGGUGGUGCUAGACAGACCCAGGUCUCACCUGGUGCCACGCCAUGGCCUGGGGGACUUGGAGUCUCCGUGACCUCAGGUGGGACGAAGGGAGGGCUGGAAACAGCGCCCGGCCUUUCCCCAUGCCAGCAUGCGUGUAUCCAGGACACCAUUCAUUCAGCCUUCCCAGCAACUCAGCGCAUUCGGAGCUGUUAUAUCUCCACUUUAGCAACGGGAAACUGAGGCACGGAGGUGAAAAGGAACUGGACACACAGCCAGCAAGUGAAGUCACACGCUGCUAGAUCCAGUGACUAAGGUGGAUGAGGACACAGAGUUGUGUGUUUACGAGCUGCCUUUCUGAUGGAUGGCGCUCGGCAGCAGCAGUCACCGUGUUUGUCAUCCCAGUUGGAAAAGUCCCUCAGGAAGGAGGACUCCAGAGCUGCUGCAGGAAGUGGUGAGGCCGGUGGGAUGAGCGUGUGUGAAGGGAGGACAGGAUUUUGAGGGAGACCAUGGCAAUGUGCCUUUUACUUUAUUUAAUACACCUUUUCAACUGAAACAUUCACUGUGCAUUUGAUCACCCCUCGUGUAUGCUGCCUCUGUCUCCUGUUAACACAGACUUGAAAAAUACCCACUUGUCCUCCUUGCCCAUUGAGGACACACCCUAAGCCUCCCAAAGGGCUACCUGCCCUUUCUAUGCUGUGUUUUAUAUGUAAACACCAAUGACAAGUUUAAUGUACAAAAUCGGCAACUUAAGAGAUGACCAAGUCAUAGGAGAAUAACAAUGUAUGGUCCUAAAAAUUAUCUUCUGUCGAUUUCUGGAAUUUUCCAUGAAAUGUUUUCAGAUUGCUGGUAACUGAACGGCAGACAGGAGUGGGCCACUGUGUAUGUAUGUGAAGACCUGUUACCUAAACCCUGCUACACACACUGCUACCUAAUAUGCUUUUAUAGAAUGCAUUUUAUUAAAGGAUACUUACAGCUUCCUUUUAAAAAAAUUUCUUGGUGGUGCUGGGACUGAACCCAGGGCCUUCCUACCGAGCUACAUCCCCAGUGCUUUUUUAUUUCUUUCAAUUUUGAAUCAAGGCCUCACUAAAGUGACACAGUGCCCAGAGUGGGGUGGAACUUUCAAUCUUUCUGUCUCUGCCUCCUGAGUGCUGGGAUUUCAGGCCUGCGGCACCAUGCCUGGCUCUUCCUGUUGUACCCCAAC